GGGAAAAACCCCCGCACGCCGGAAGACCAAGGGUUCCUGCGCAACGCUAAUCGGCGCAGGGUGAGUCGGCCCCUAAGGCGAGGCAGAGAUGCGUAGCUGAUGGGAAACAGGUCAAUAUUCCUGUACCGCUCUGUAGUGCGAUGUGGGGACGGAGAAGGUUAGCUCAGCCAACUGUUGGAUAUGUUGGUUCAAGCCUGUAGUCGUGCCUGGUAGGCAAAUCCGCCGGGCUUA
This 231-nucleotide ribosomal RNA is filed under the name Proteomonas sulcata. RNAcentral's name for it is "partial Bacterial large subunit ribosomal RNA". It matches the Rfam family "Bacterial large subunit ribosomal RNA", at positions 1319 to 1553 of the family's 2925-position model. Lineage: Eukaryota; Cryptophyceae; Pyrenomonadales; Geminigeraceae. The record is from RNAcentral.